GAAAGUAAGUAAGGGCGUAUGGGGGAUGCCUAGGCUCUUGGAGGCGACGAAGGACGUGGUAAGCUGCGAAAAGCCGCGGGGAUUAGCAAACGUGAAUUGAUCCGCGGAUCUCCGAAUGGGACAACCCGUUAGGUAGAAGACCUAACACACCGGCAACGGUGAGCCAACCCUCUGAACUGAAACAUCUAAGUAGGAGGAGGAAAAGAAAGAAACAUCGAUUUCCAAAGUAGCGGCGAGCGAAAUGGAAGAAGCCUAAACCAUGGUUGUUACGGCAAUCAUGGGGUUGUAGGACUGCGAUAUUCGCGUAACGAAGAACUGGAAUGGUCUGGAAAGUCCAUCCGUAGAGAGUGAAAGGCUCGUACAGGUAAUUCAGUUACAAGAUAGCAGUAUCCUGAGUAGGGCGGGACACGAGGAAUCCUGUCUGAAUCUGCCGGGACCACCCGGUAAGGCUAAAUACUCCCAAGAGACCGAUAGUGAACCAGUACUGUGAAGGAAAGGUGAAAAGAACCCCGAACAGGGGAGUGAAAAAGAACCUGAAACCAUACGCUUACAACCUGUCGGAGCGGCUUCGUGCCGUGACGGCGUGCCUAUUGAAUAAUGAGCCUACGAGUUACUAAUCACUGGCGAGGUUAAGUGCUAGGAAGCACGGAGCCGAAGCGAAAGCGAGUCUGAAUAGGGCGGCCAGUCAGUGGUUGUAGACGCGAAACCUUGCGAUCUACCCUUGAGCAGGAUGAAGGUUGGGUAAAACCAACUGGAGGUCCGAACGAAUAAGCGUUGAAAAGCUUCUCGAUGACUUGAGGGUAGGGGUGAAAGGCUAAUCAAGCUGGGAAAUAGCUCGUACUCCCCGAAAUGCCUUUAGGGGCAGCGUUGUAAUUGAGAGUCUACUGGAGGUAGAGCUACUGAUUGGAUGCGGGGGCUUCACCGCCUACCAAAUCCUGACAAACUCCGAAUGCCAGUAGUAUGAUUUACAGCAGUGAGCGACCGGGUGCUAAUGUCCGGUCACAAAAGAGGAACAACUCAGACCAGCAACUAAGGUCCCCAAGAAUAUGCUAAGUUGAACUAACGAUGUUUUGUUGCAGAGACAGCUAGGAUGUUAGCUUGGAAGCAGCUAUUCAUUCAAAGAGUGCGUAACAGCUCACUAGUCGAGCGACAGAGCGUGGAUAAUAAACGGGCAUCAAGCAUAUCACCGAAGUUCUGGACGCGAAAGCGUGGUAGGGGAGCAUUCCAUUCAGCGUCGAAGCCGUCUCGUGAGGGAUGGUGGAGCGUAUGGAAAAGCAAAUGUAGGCAUGAGUAACGAUAAUGCGGGAGAGUAACCCGCACACCGCAAGACCAAGGUUUCCUGAUCAACGCUAAUCGGAUCAGGGUUAGUCGGGUCCUAAGGGUAAGCCGAAAGGUGAUCUCGAUGGAUAAUCGGUUAAUAUUCCGAUACUGACAUGCACCUCGAUGGAGAGACGAAGGAACGUAAGUGACGCGAACUGACGGAAUAGUUCGUUAAAGGCCGUAGGUAUAGGGACAGAUUAAGAGUUAGUUCCUGCUGAACGCCGACAGUACCGAGCGCCUACGGGCAAUCGGAUAGUUCACCCAAGUCUACUUCCGAGAAAAUCUUCUAAGUUAUAGUGUAUGUCACCCGUACCGUAAACCGACACAGGUGGUCGAGGAGAGUAUCCUAAGGUGCUCGAGUGAAUCACGGUUAAGGAACUAGGCAAAUUAACCCCGUAACUUCGGGAAAAGGGGUCCCUGCGAGAGCAGGGCGCAGCGAAGAGGUCCAGGCGACUGUUUAUCAAAAACACAGGGCUCUGCAAAUUCGAAAGAAGACGUAUAGGGCCUGACACCUGCCCGGUGCUGGAAGGUUAAGAGGGGAUGUCAUCGCAAGAGAAGCAUUGAAUCGAAGCCCCAGUAAACGGCGGCCGUAACUAUAACGGUCCUAAGGUAGCGAAAUUCCUUGUCGGGUAAGUUCCGACCUGCACGAAUGGUGUAACGAUCUGGACACUGUCUCAACCGUGAGCUCGGUGAAAUUGUAGUCCCGGUGAAGAUGCCGGGUACCCGCAACGGGACGAAAAGACCCCGUGAACCUUUACUAUAGCUUAACGCUGAAUUUGGGUGCAUAAUGUGUAGGAUAGGCAGGAGACUGCGAAGCGGGUACGCCAGUAUUCGUGGAGUCGACGUUGAAAUACUGCCCUUUGUGUAUUUGAAUUCUAACCCCUUGCGGGGGACACCGUUUGGUGGGUAGUUUGACUGGGGUGGUCGCCUCCAAAAGCGUAACGGAGGCUUCCCAAGGUGCCCUCAGCACGAAUGGUAACCGUGCGUAGAGUGCAAUAGCAUAAGGGCGCUUGACUGUGAGACCUACAAGUCGAACAGGUACGAAAGUAGGGUAUAGUGAUCCGGUGGUUCUGUGUGGACUGGCCAUCGCUCAAAGGAUAAAAGGUACUCCGGGGAUAACAGGCUGAUCGCCGCCAAGAGCUCAUAUCGACGCGGCGGUUUGGCACCUCGAUGUCGGCUCGUCACAUCCUGGGGCUGGAGAAGGUCCCAAGGGUUCGGCUGUUCGCCGAUUAAAGUGGCACGCGAGCUGGGUUCAGAACGUCGUGAGACAGUUCGGUCUCUAUCUGUUGCGGGCGUAGGAAGAUUGAGGGGUCCUGACUUUAGUACGAGAGGACCGAGUUGGACGAACCUCCGGUGUAUCGGUUAUGCUGCCAAGUGUACCGCCGAGUAGCCGCGUUCGGUUUGGAUAAGCGCUGAAAGCAUCUAAGCGCGAAGCCAUCCCCAAGAUAAGUCUUCCCUUGAGGGGCGUAGGAGACGACUACGUUGAUAGGCUGCAGGUGUAAAGACAGUAAUGUCAAAGCCGAGCAGUACUAAUUACCCGAACGGCUUUCUUUC
This 2874-nucleotide ribosomal RNA is filed under the name mouse gut metagenome. Its description in RNAcentral is "bacterial LSU rRNA". It matches the Rfam family "Bacterial large subunit ribosomal RNA". The record is from RNAcentral.